CAGCUACAGUAUACUGCCAAAAGCCAAUACACAGACCCUGAAAAGACAAGGAGAAGGAGUUAGCUGACAACGGCACGAAAACGAUGUGUGCUCUUCCAUGGGGCAGAAGUCAGCGUGUUGUUGUGAUUCUGGAUGGCCAGAUAGCCAGCACCAAUGACAAGAAGCUGCCAUGUGGGGAAUCGUCAGCUUUGGCAUCUCAACACAGCUGCUUUCCUGCCGAUAGGGGCAAGUCUUCAAAAUGUUCCACUAGUGCUCUCUGGUGGCUGAGGUAAUUAAUUGUACUGUAAGAGUGGACGUAAAUCAGGUGGAAGCCACAGAUGAACCCACUCUGUCACUCAGGCCAGCUACAGCUACAUCUACAGGCAUGGUGAGCAGUGGGAGAAGAGAAGGCCAAGCUACAGGCAUGGUGAGCAGUGAGAGAAGAGAAGGCCAAGCUACAGGCAUGGUGAGUAGUGGGAGAAGAGAAGGCCAAGCUACAGGCAUGGUGAGCAGUGGGAGAAGUGAAGGCCAAGCUACAGGCAUGGUGAGUAGUGGGAGAAGAGAAGGCCAAGCUACAGGCAUGGUGAGCAGGGGGAGAGGUGAAGGCCAAGCUACAGGCAUGGUGAGCAGUGGGAGAAGAGAAGGCCAAGCUACAGGCAUGGUGAGCAGUGGGAGAAGAGAAGGCCAAGCUACAGGCAUGGUGAGCAGUGG
Molecule: long non-coding RNA, 690 nt
Organism: Oncorhynchus tshawytscha (Chinook salmon)
Lineage: Eukaryota; Metazoa; Chordata; Actinopteri; Salmoniformes; Salmonidae
Source: Ensembl